AUGCUGCAUUUUUUUGCGGCAAGAAGUGGAUCGUUGGAGGACAGAACAAGAGGGAGGAGGCCAACAAAUACAUCAAACAAAUACAAAUACAGAGUUGUUCUUCCACAGCUUGCUCGACUGGAUCUGCCAACCCUCUUCUACCGUUUUUCCUCCUCCGUUUCUGCACGGGGUAGCUCCGCACCUGCACCUUCUGGUUCACUUGCAAGACGACUGGCUAGCAAGAGGAACGCCAAGAUGACGAGGCAAGAGGUUGGAGAAGUUCUAGGCAGAAGAUGGAAGACGUCCAAGGUGAGACAACUAGGGAGGACGGUGUCGGGGGAUGGGGCCGUGGACCGCUGGGCGGCGCGCCUGGGGGCUGCCGGUGGACGCCGGCGCUCAUGUGCUGGGAUCGAGGGGUGGGUGCAGCGCGGCGGCCAGACCAAGGCACAGGGUGACGCGGCGGCCGGACCCAGUCGCGGGGCGACGUGGCGGCCGGACCCAGGAGUGGGGCAACUCCAGCGCGGAUGGAAGGUGGUCGGGAGCCGCCAAAGUGGAGGGCGGAGCGGGAGGGGGUUAGCCGCGGCAGGGGAUCAGGCCGCCGCCGUCCCCAGCGGAUCCCUGGCGGGGGAGCUGGACGCCGCAUGGUGGCGUCGGAUCUGGGGAGGCACCGCUGGUCGGGGAGGAGGCGGUGUCGGCGUUGGGCGGGGCGAGGGCGGCGGCACCGGUUGCGGGCGGGGCGGCGGCGGGGAUGCGGGAAGGUGGGAAUCGUGGGGUCGGGGGUGGGAGGUUGACCAGGUGUGCGGUGUUUUUUUACACGGCUGUACUGGUUCGGGAACAGCCUAUUCUGAUAUAUAUAUCUGGGCACCUUGCUCAAGAAUGGUACUCCCUCCUCCCAAAAUUUUUGUCUUAUAUUUGUCUAGAUGUGGAUGUAUCAAAUACUAA
Molecule: ribosomal RNA, 921 nt
Filed under: Triticum aestivum (bread wheat)
Lineage: Eukaryota; Viridiplantae; Streptophyta; Magnoliopsida; Poales; Poaceae
Description: partial small subunit ribosomal RNA
Source: RNAcentral